CAGAAUUUUGAUUCUGGUUCAGAUUGAACGCUGGCGGCAGGCCUAACACAUGCAAGUCGAGCGGUAGAGAGAAGCUUGUUUCUCUUGAGAGCGGCGGACGGGUGAGUAAUACCUAGGAAUCUGCCUGGUAGUGGGGGAUAACGUUCGGAAACGGACGCUAAUACCGCAUACGUCCUACGGGAGAAAGCAGGGGACCUUCGGACCUUGCGCUAUCAGAUGAGCCUAGGUCGGAUUAGCUAGUUGGUGAGGUAAUGGCUCACCAAGGCGACGAUCCGUAACUGGUCUGAGAGGAUGAUCAGUCACACUGGAACUGAGACACGGUCCAGACUCCUACGGGAGGCAGCAGUGGGGAAUAUUGGACAAUGGGCGCAAGCCUGAUCCAGCCAUGCCGCGUGUGUGAAGAAGGUCUUCGGAUUGUAAAGCACUUUAAGUUGGGAAGAAGGGUUGUAGAUUAAUACUCGGCAAUUUUGACGUUACCGACAGAAUAAGCACCGGCUAACUCUGUGCCAGCAGCCGCGGUAAUACAGAGGGUGCAAGCGUUAAUCGGAAUUACUGGGCGUAAAGCGCGCGUAGGUGGUUUGUUAAGUCGGAUGUGAAAUCCCCGGGCUCAACCUGGGAACUGCAUUCAAAACUGCCUGACUAGAGUAUGGUAGAGGGUGGUGGAAUUUCCUGUGUAGCGGUGAAAUGCGUAGAUAUAGGAAGGAACACCAGUGGCGAAGGCGACCACCUGGACUAACACUGACA
Molecule: ribosomal RNA, 744 nt
Filed under: bacterium ER-Te-50-white
Lineage: Bacteria
Description: bacterial SSU rRNA
Rfam family: Bacterial small subunit ribosomal RNA
Source: RNAcentral